UACGUAGGGUGCAAGCGUUGUCCGGAUUUAUUGGGUUUAAAGGGUGCGUAGGCGGCCUGUUAAGUCAGUGGUGAAAUCCAACAGCUCAACUGUUGAUGUGCCAAUGAUACUGACAGGCUUGAGUACAGACGAGGUAGGCGGAAUUGACAGUGUAGCGGUGAAAUGCAUAGAUAUUGUCAAGAACACCGAUAGCGAAGGCGGCUACCUGGCUUGGUACUGACGCUCAGGUGCGAAAGCGUGGGGAGCAAACAGG
Molecule: ribosomal RNA, 253 nt
Filed under: uncultured bacterium
Lineage: Bacteria
Description: partial 16S ribosomal RNA
Rfam family: Bacterial small subunit ribosomal RNA
Source: RNAcentral